This is an RNA transcript of Lagopus leucura (white-tailed ptarmigan), 4897 nucleotides long. It is a transcript of the gene named microtubule associated protein tau, with no coding region annotated. Lineage: Eukaryota; Metazoa; Chordata; Aves; Galliformes; Phasianidae. The transcript has 14 exons. The record is from RefSeq and is a predicted model, not a curated record.
CUCCCCUCCCGACCCGCCCCCCGCCGCUGUCACUUCACCGUGCAGCUCCGGUGCGGACAGCAAAACAGCGGCAAGUAACUUGGCUGCAAGAUGGCAGAACCACACCAGGAUGUCACCGUGGUGGAGGACCAGGAGAGGCAGCACGUCCCCUCAGGCUAUCCCCUUCAGAUUCCAGUCGAUGACGGAUCGGAUGAGCCUGUUUCUGAAACCUCUGACGCUAAGAGCACCCCAACUACAGAAGAUGCCACAGCACCUUUAGUAGAGGAAGGAGACCAAGAGGAUCAGCACGGGGAGAUCCCAGAAGGAACCACAGCUGAAGAGGCGGGCAUAGGAGCCACCCCCAGCCUGGAGGACCACGCUGCAGGAGAUGCUGCUCAAGCCCCAGGGGAGCCCAGCUCUCCAAAGCUGCAGCCUGGCCUUAAGGAGCACGUGGGAGGUGUGAUGAAAAGGGGCAGCCAGCCCAUGGAGCAGCUGGCUGCUGUUCCUCAGGAGCCUCUUCUGCAACAAGAAACAAAGCCUGCAGCCACAGCUCCCACCAGGAUCGAGGUCACUAUCCCGAUACCCCUGGAUAUGUACCAAGAUGUCCGACCAGCUGAGGACAGCAGUGAGCUGUGGGAUCGUGGGGGCAGAGAAGGCAUUGGUGUGGAUUCAGCAAUGGGAGAAGAGCUGGGUGAUGUGUGCGCCGUGGGGCUGGCAGGAGCAGGUGGCACUGAUGCCUCCCGUACUGCAGCUGGGCCAGCUCCGUUAUAUGCUGGAGCCCCACUAAAAGAAGAUGCCAGCAGAUGGGAAAGAGAUGAGGAUGAAGCUUCUCGGCAGGGUUUGCUUGGCCUGGUGGGACAGCGUGUUCCUCCAGGACCCGAAGCAACCAAAGAAGCUCUUGAAGAAGAAAGCAAGUCCAGAGAUGUCCUGAGAGACACAGAGAGAGAGGCGCUCCUUGUUGAACGUGAAGCACGGAAAGCAGAAGACCAAGAGGAGAGACAGCAGUUGCAGGGGGAAGAGUCAUACGCAGAUGUCACCUCGUCUGAGCCUUCUGAGACCCAAACAGAAGGGGCAGGAGGGGAUGCUGGGCCCUUAAAGGAAGCAGCCAAACCCCCCGUUGGGUUAAAGGAUGGCAGGGAAGACAGAGAUGCUGCCGUGGAAGAGGCAGAGCUGGGUGCAGAAGGGUGCAGGACGCCCAAGAAGAAGCCUGGUGCUGCAGAUAAAGCAGUCAGUCGAGUUCCUCUCCUGAAAGCUCGUAUUGAUAGCAAAGACAAGGAAGGGGCUGAAACUGAUGAAAAGAAACCGAAGAAAUCCUCACCUUCCACUGCCAAACCCCCAAGCGAUAGAGCCUCCAUCCCUCCCCACCGACACACCUCCUCUAGCACAGCCCCUCCGAAAUCUCCCUCCAGCCCUGCAUCCACCUCUAAACGAGUCACACCCCGACCUGCCAGUACAGGAACGCAUGAAACAAAGGCCAAGGGCCAGGAGAUGAGGGGUGGCACCAAGCCGGCCACGCCGCGCUCUGCAGCCGGGCAGGCACAGAGGAACGCCAGCAACGCCACCCGCAUCCCAGCCAAAACCCCCACGGCCCCCAAGACCCCUCCUGGCUCUGGCAGAAAGGAGCAGAAAAAGCCACCCCCCGCAGCAGCGAAGUCUGAGAAAGGUGAGCAGCCCAAGUCUGGAGACAGAAGCGGUUACAGCAGUCCCGGCUCCCCCGGGACUCCAGGCAGCCGUUCCCGCACUCCUUCUCUGCCCACCCCACCAGCCAGGGAGCCCAAGAAGGUGGCUGUGGUUCGCACGCCUCCCAAAUCGCCCGCGUCUGCCAAGAGCCGCGUGCAGCCCUCGGCGGCUCCGAUGCCCGACCUGAAAAACGUCAAAUCCAAAAUCGGCUCCACCGAAAACCUGAAGCACCAACCUGGAGGUGGCAAGGUGCAGAUUAUUAAUAAGAAGCUGGACUUUAGCAGCGUUCAAUCCAAGUGUGGCUCAAAGGAUAAUAUCAAACACAUCCCAGGAGGAGGCAGUGUGCAGAUUGUUAAUCAGAAGUUGGACUUUAGCAGCGUUCAAUCCAGGUGUGGCUCAAAGGAUAAUAUCAAACACAUCCCGGGAGGAGGCAGUGUGAGUACCUUCACACUUUGAGCGCGCUGUGGUCCCCCCCCCGUAGUGGCAUGUUGUAUAACACCAAGCACCAAUGCUAUUUGCAGCAGCGCUGCUGUCAGAUAGCAAUUGGUGACGUGCUGUCGUUUAACCCAUUAACCCAGAAGACGUGGGUAGAGGAGCCCUAACGAGUCCUUUUCCGUGCCUGACGUGGGCAGAGCUAACUGAGCCGCGUGCAAACCGUGUCUGUAACAAAACAUCUCUUAACCUGAGGCUUUGUGCUGCCUGCGAGGCUCGGGCCCCUGCACACAGUGCAGUCAGUGAUAGAUGUAAAAGCAAAUGCAGCCCUCGUUGCUUACUGUACUGCUGAGGUGCACGUGGCCCUGCACAGCACGUAGAAGCGAGGUUCCUGGCCUUUCCCAUCAGGCAAGUAUGAUCCAUGUGAAUAUCAAGCUUCUCCUCGUGUCCACUGUGUGUGUUGGUGCCCGUGGGGGCUGAGCCUGAAGUGAUACUGAGCAAACGGAUUGCAACGUGGGCAUUUCCAGCCAUUCCCUGACCUGUAACCACGCUCAGCUUCCAGGUGCUGUGCCAGAAAGCUGGAGGGGCUCUGCAGGGUUGGUGGAUUUUGCACCGUCUGCUCUGGAGGCAGAGUUUGGGUCUGGGAAUGGUGGUGGGCAAAGGGAGGAGCAUCACUGAGACCCCAAACAGUGCAGCCCUGGGGCUGUGCCCGCUCUGUGCCCAUCUGUGGAAGCCUCCUGGUGCCCUCAGAUGUUCCCCAUGGGUUUCCUCUGUGCUGUUUUUGAUCUCUGGAUGCCCUCCCUGAGAAACCGAGCAUCGCAGAGGGCUCGGCACAUAAAGGAUGUAACUGGGUUUGCCACCUUGGUCUUAAAUCUGAUGUAAUUCCACGUUUAUUCGCACACCAGAGGAGCUGCUUUGCAGAGGUCAGGCCUCUGUGAGACACGUUCCCUGCUGCUUUUGCCAUGUCUUAAACCCAAGCCCUGCCCUGGCUGCGCUGCCUGCUGCGCUGUUAGGCCAGGAGCUGAUGUGUGCCACGCAUCGUCGUGCUGGCAGCAGAGCUCAGCACACACUGAGCAGGCACUGAAAGCUGCAGCAGGUGAAGAAUGCCCUGCAUUUUAAGGUAGAGAUCAUCAUCCUGUGCCUUGGGGCUCCUCUGACUGGGGAGCAACGAGAAGCCACUGGGGUGCAAUGCAGCUGUGCCUUAAUCCUCUGCAGCACAGUCAGCAGUGACUGCCUGCAUAGCCACGCUGCUCCAAGGCAAAGACAGUGACCUGGGGGCAGAUGUAAUAACCUGGGGGCAGAUACAGAACCUGGGGGCAGAUACAGAACCUGGGGUCAGAUAGAGUAACCUGGGGGCAGAUACAGUGACUUGGGGGCAGAUACAGAACCUGGGCUCAGUGCCUUUCUCAUGGCAGUGCUCUGACACAGCGAUGCUUUAGGCAGAAGCUGACCUACGCAUUGCUGAUGCUGAGAUGGGAUCCCCAGGUCUCUGGCACUGAUUUCCCAGGCAAACAACUCUGUGCCUGUUUGCCUUCCUUGUUGCUCCCCAGCAGGAUAACAAAUUGUUCAGUGAGUCUUGUCUGUAAAAACACUGAGCUGGAAGGAGAGCAGGAAGGACUCAGCGAUGGGUCUCUUGCUGUGGAAAUGGGAGGUCUCUCACAGCCGGGUCCUGCAGCGGGGCACACUGGGGUUAGAAGGGCACAGCUCUGUCCUCCCACCUCCUGUUUGUGCCUUCUGAAGAGCCCGGCUCUCCUCCUGCUCAGUGCAUUCCGUGUGACCUCUCCCCAUCCCUGUCUUCACAUCUGUCCCUGCUGUGUGCUCUCAGCCCCUGCGGUUGCUGUUCUCCCCGUCCCUCUGUCCCCACUCUCCGUGCGAUGUCCUGUCGGUGUGUCUGACCAUCAGAGGUGGGGCUGACCCACGUGUUUGACAUCCAGCCUUACUGCAGGUCCAGGCUCAGCCCUCGAGCCCUGCAGCGCCUGCUGGCACCGGGCCUUGCUGCCUUGCUGCGCUCCCACACCUUUCCCUGGCUGCGGAGCGGAGCUGGGGGGCGAUGCUGUGUGCACAGCCCCGCUGCCACCUGUGGCUCUGAGGGUCAGGAUGGGCUGCCGGGCACGGGGCCACGCGAGGUUUGGUGCAUGCAGGGCAUUGCAGGCAGCACGGGGCGCUGCUCCCGGCGCUGCAGGGAGGCGAUGAAGCUCCAGCUGUGAGUGCUGAUGGAGGGGCUGCUCAGCAGGCACACAGAGAGCAGCACCCGCUGCCCUGCAGCUCCCAGGGCUGCCCGGUUCCUGGGGGUGCGAGCCCAAUCGCAGGGCGCUGGGGAUGCAGCGACGUUCUGUCCCCUCUGUCCCCUCUGUCCCGGUGUCGCUGCUGUGUGUUUGCCCUGCUUUGCCCUCCCCGAGGCUCUCAGCCCUCCCUGUUCUCCACUGCCCGCAUCCCCCCUGUGUUUGUGUGCAUCUGGGGCUGCGCGUCCGGGGUGCAGCAACGCCAGGAUGUGCCCUCGUGCUUCAGUGUGCUCCAACUCCCGCUUAGGUUCCAUGCUAUGAACUCCCACCGGAUCUUUAGGCUUUAUUUCUCUUUAUUUUUUGACCCUCUGUAGCUCCAUGACAGCCUUGUUGUUGUUGUUGUUUUUCAGAAAUGCGUAUUUUUUUGGUCACUCUUGUAUCCAAGUUCUGUGCACAUUGAUCAUUUCUGUUCUUUCAGUUUUUGUGGACAUAAGCUUUAUGUUUUACACCAGAAAAGGUUCAAAUUGUUUACAAGCCGGUGGACCUGAGCCACGUCACAUCCAAAUGCGGUUCCCUGGGCAACA